UACUUGUGGAUGUAAUUUUUUGCAGUGUUGAUUUGAGAAGAUUAAUUGAGCAGAACUUCAUCCCACCCACCUCGCAUAUGACUAACUAUGUUGUUCUUAAGUUCGGCAAUCAUUCUGAUCACAAAACGGAGGAUAUGGUGAACAGCAACGGAAUACUAACAGAUCAAUUGGUUGAUGAAGAACCAUCUUUUCACAAAUAUCUCGAAAGCAAAGAGUUUGCUGACAAGUAUUGAAGGUACGAAGAUGGGUUUAAGCAGUUUCUUGUGGAGAGGUACUUCUCUGGAGAUGAUAUGUAUGAGGAGAUAACAACAGUCGAUGGUGCAACCAUUUAUUGAUCGUCUUAUUUAAUGUACGGGAACCCGAGGUUGAUGAGUAUCUUAAAGUGGUGGAGAGGCAUGCUUAUGGUUUGCUUCCUGAAAUGAAAAAAGAUGAGUAUGAAGUAAGAGAGGAUCCAAAUCUAAACAAAUGGAUGGAGGGAGGACUGGAUGUUAUCAUGUUGCAGUUCUUGAAUAUUGAUGGGAUCAGAACCAUAGGCAGUGUUAUGGGGCUGAGCAUUGCUCUCGAUUACUAUGGCGGGCAGGUAACUAUGUUAAUCCAUACAUAUAUAUAUUGGAAUGUGAAGAAUGAAUUAAUUAAAAAGAAAAAUAACCGUGGGUGAGCAAUCUGUUUUGUAUAGUAGCAGAAUUUACUGACAUAAACCGUCGGUUGGAGAAAACAGGAACAUUUACAAUGACUAGGAAAAAGCUGUUCCAGUUGGUUGGAAGGUCUAAUUCUUAUCUGGCUGAUGUGAUUCUGAAGCUUGGUCUGUUUGAGAGGUAAAGAAGUCGAGAGAGGGAAGAAGAAUGGAUGCCCUGUCUUGGACAAAGCAUCCGCAACAAGGAUCUUUUUUAAGAUGUGUCCGAAAAUGGGUAUUCAAUCGAAAAGUUCAGGGCGCGGAGAACAAAGGCGUCUUUCAUUAUUCACAAGCAGGCACAAAAAUGGGAAGAACAAAGAUGCCAAUGAGAAAUCGAACAAAGAAAAGCUCAAAUGUGUAUCAUUUCCGCCAGGGGCAGAUGCUAUUCUACAUGACUUAAUUACUCAUUAUCCACCUUGUGACGGAGACACUGCUGCCACAUCAUUUAACAAGUACUCCGGGCACUCGGGUAAACAAGGACAAUGGAAAGAUGAUUUUUUCGGGAAACCAAAGAUUAGCAGUGAAGAGAUUCUAGAAAUGGUGGCGUCUUUGAGUUCUAGACUUAAGAAGGACAAAGCUCUUAAGGAGAUCGCGAAGCUGCGGUCAAAGAUUCCCAUCACUUCCUUUAGAGACGCAAUUAGAAGGUUCUUUUUUUUACACCAGAUGUUGGACAUGUAAAUUUAUGUUACCAAGCUAAUUAUUUUCCUUAUAAAUUAGUUUUAUUUUAAUCAAACACAUCUUUUCCUUUC
Non-coding RNA from Camelina sativa (false flax), 1422 nucleotides. Lineage: Eukaryota; Viridiplantae; Streptophyta; Magnoliopsida; Brassicales; Brassicaceae. The record is from RefSeq and is a predicted model, not a curated record.